Molecule: ribosomal RNA, 200 nt
Filed under: uncultured eukaryote
Lineage: Eukaryota
Description: partial 18S ribosomal RNA
Source: RNAcentral
GCUCCACUAGCGUAUGUUAAAAUUGUUGCGGUUAAAACGUUCGAAGUUGAUCAUUGUCCAGUAUGGGUGUGACGUCGUCAUGAACGAUUGUCAUCGCUUUUCUACUCGGACUAUAUGACUGAACACUAAAUGAAUAGCGGUGAUGCCUUUCACUAGGCUAGCCGUCUAUUUAGUUCGGCUUACUUUUACCUUGAACAAUU